AAAGCUGGCCAUGCCAUCCUGGACAAGCCCAAUGCUGUGUGAUCGCAGAAGCUAAGCAGGGUCGGACCUGGUUAGUACUUAGAUGGGAGACUACCUAGGAAGACCAGACGCUGUAGGUG
This 119-nucleotide ribosomal RNA is filed under the name Pteropus alecto (black flying fox). Lineage: Eukaryota; Metazoa; Chordata; Mammalia; Chiroptera; Pteropodidae. The record is from RNAcentral.